Molecule: long non-coding RNA, 3302 nt
Organism: Mesocricetus auratus (golden hamster)
Lineage: Eukaryota; Metazoa; Chordata; Mammalia; Rodentia; Cricetidae
Exons: 3
Source: RefSeq, a predicted model, not a curated record
AGCGGCCCCGCCUCCUUCCCCUCCCCCUCCUUCUUCCCUUCCUCCCGCGACCCGACCGACCUGUGCGCGCCUAAGGCCCCGCAGCCUAGCGCCGAGUUCCAAGCGGCCAAUCCGUCGCUCGUGGCUCCACUCGCCGUUGUGUAAGAAACCCCAUAGCCCGCCAUGGAGCGUGCCUUUACCCCGCUGCGGCCCCUGCUACCCACCGGAAAAGUCACAAACAGCAUGAGAAAACGAACCUGCAUAACCUGACCCUGAAAUGCAUCAGAAUCUGUCCACAGUCUGGAGAAGGUGUCAGCACUCUGCUGAUCACAUCCAUUGGCAGAGAUGUGUUGGUCUAUGUCUUAGUUAGGGUUACUAUUGCUGUGAAGAGACACCAUGACCAUAGUAACUCUCAUAAACAAAGACAUUUAUUGGGGGGGACUUAUAGUUUCAGAAAUUUAGUCCAUUAUCAUCAGGGUGGGGCAUGGUGCUGAACAGAAAGACAUGUAGCCAGGGCUGAGCAUCCUGCAUCUUGAUUGGCAGGCAGCAGGAAGUGACUGAGUGUCCUGCAUCUUGAUUGGCAGGCGUCACGACAUGAACUGAGACACUGGCUGUGGCUGGAGCAUAUGUGAGACAUCAAAGCCCACCCCACAGUGACACACUAACUCCAACAAGGCCAUACCUUCUCCAACAGUGCCACACCUACUGAUAGUGCCACUCACUAUGUGCUUAUGGGGGUCAAUUACAUUCAAACUGCCACAGUAUAUAGCCUCUACUCACUCCAAAUCCAUUUAGUAAGCCGUUGGUAUGAUGUUUUAGCAGCUUGUGUUUUUUUUGCAGUUCCCUCAUUUUUGCUUUUAAUUCUCCUAACACAGUAGCCAUGUUUUAAAGUAUUAAUUCUUCUCAUAAGUUAGACAGAGUGAUGGAGCAUAGAAAAACUGAGACAAAAAUUUUGGGUCUGAAGUAGGCAGGCCAAAUCCCAUCUCAGAGCUGAAACAACACAUGACAAUAUGUUUUUUUAAUAUUAUCCAUACUCAAAGAGCAUUUGAACCAGAGAUUUAAGGAACUCAGUGGUGGUAUCUGUGCCUUUACAACUAACAAAGGCAGACCACAGGCAUAAGGCAAGGAAACCCAAGAACACAAAGAAUGUCGCCUCUCAGAGGAAGCAGACUUGGGUACUUACUGCCAUUGCAGGCUCCUGUGUAAUCUUCUCAAAGACAUUUAGCUAUCUGAACUGCGCCCGUUGGUAUUCUCUGUUAGCAUUGUCAAAGGCUGAAGUUUCUAAUAACAUCUAUCUAAGAUCAGACUCAGAAAUAGUCUCUUAUGCCACCAAGCCGUGAAAUGAAGGAAUUCAGCAGGAUCAAACAAGCCCUGGCCAGCUUGCCCCAGUCAUGGGGGAGAGUUGCUCUGUUUCAGCUAUCCCUCUCAACAAUCCCAUCAAACAUGGAGAUGCAGGUCUGUAAGAGGAGAUGGUUUGUUUAAAAUCCUUAAGUAUCGUAUAGGGAAUAGGCCCCUAUUCUGCUCAUAUUCCCCUCUUAGGAAAAUUAUCAUCAACUCUGGGUCUAACGAGUUAGAAAUGUGUUGGCACUUCAAAGAGGCACAGAGAGGUACACCCCAGGAUCCUGUUACUUUUAGGCUGAGUCCCAGGGCUGUUGCAGAAACACAGCUGCAGGGAUGCAGAGGAAUGAAUGGGGAACAGAGAACUUUUCAUCUUUUGAAUCAUCAAGGGAGGCAGAUCACCGGGAUCCAGUGAUCGGGAUGUCUUCUGUACAUAUGUUUCUUUUAUUGUUUGAUGAAUAAAAUACUGUAGUCUAUAGGGCAGCAAGAUAAGCGGGUCUAGGAGAUGCGGAAGAUUAUGGGAAGUGGAGGCAGAGAGAAGUCAUCUUGUGAUCCCGGGAAGAGAGGACACAAGUGAGGCAUUCUCCAGUAAGAUAAGACCAUGUAGAAAUAUCGAUUAGUAGUUAUGGGUUAAUAAUUAAGACAGAGAUAGCCAAUAAGAAGCCCAAGUUAAUGGUCAACAGUUUCAUAAUUGAUAGAGUGCCCGUGUGUUCAUUUGGGGCUGACACGGCUGUGUGAUCAACCUGGCAGAAAGAACAUCCAUAACAAUCCAGGGAACCAAAGAGGAAGGUGGAGAUCCUUUGCAUCGUCUCAUUCCUUCUGAAAGAGCUGCCUGUCUGCUGGUGUCUCCUCCUCCAAUAGGACAGAGUCAUUUCCAAUGGCUGAAUUCUAACGUGAGGGAAGUAUGUGAGCAGACACAUCCUGCCUGUGGAGGAGCUUGUCUAAAAGAACAUGGACAUCUUCCCAUUGCUUGUGGGCAAUGUUCCUGUGCUGACAGAAGUAACUGUAUUGUAUAUAUGCUCAGACAGGUCAUAGAAACUUUGUUUUUUCUAUUUUAAAAUUAUUAAGAAUUUGAGAUAAAAAGAUCUAAAGUUAUAAGUAUAAUACAACCUACUUAUGGAAGGCUAAAGUUUCAGAACUUAAAUUCAAAUUAUGUACAACUGUAUCACAAAUCUGGAACCUGAGUAUGCCUUGAAAAAUGCCCAUGAGUCAAAAUAAGCAUUUCUCAUAAAACAUCAUUGAACAUUUACUUCAUAUCUGGUCAGUGAGUGUUUAAUGAAUUUAGAGCAGUGGCAGAGGAGUUAGCUCAGUUCACAGAGACUGACCUAGCAUGCAAGAGGUCUUUGGUCUGAUCCCCAUGGCUACAAACACCCAGCAGGGGGGGUUGGGCUUAUUCCUCUAACCAGCAGUUCAGAGGUUGAAGCAGGAGCACACAGAGAUGUUGUUCUAACCCUCUCAUCAGCCUCCCUGGAAACUAUGGCUCCAAACAAAAACUAAAGUUAUGUGUUUGCUCUUCUAGCUUGUUGUAUGUUUGUUUCUUUUGGUUAUGUUCGUUUGAGAUAGGGUCUCUCUACAUAGCUCCUGGAAUUCACUAUGUGGACCAGACUGGCCUCAAACUCUUUGCCUCCCCAGUGCUGGCAAUAAAGGUGUGUGCCACCAUGCCUGUCUCUUCUAGCUUUAUUCGUUUGUCCUUCAAUUUCUUUUUUAAUUUAUAUAUUUUAUGCAUAUUAGUAUCUGUCUGCAAGGAGAUCUGAACAGCCUGCUAAGAAGAUUGUGAUGAUGAACAUUUUGUUUAGAGGAUAAUUUAGUGUGCCAGGCUUGUAAACAAAAAGAUGCUUUUAGCUUGUAAAAGCCAUGAGGAGGUUAUUCCUUGAACUUACCCUGUCAACUAGCCUGAGAUGGACAACUGCCUGGUGUAAUUGGGCUGUUCUUCAAAACUGCUAGUCAUUGCAAAAUAUUUCACAGUCUCAGCUAUUCUUACAAGG